AGGGGGACCACCCUCUAAGCCUAAAUACUCUUCAGUGACCGAUAGUGAACUAGUACCGUGAGGGAAAGGUGAAAAGAACCCCUAUUAGGGGAGUGAAAUAGAUCCUGAAACUGUAUGCUUACAAACUGUCGAAGCCCCAUGUGGGUGACGACGUACCUUUUGUAUAAUGGGUCAGUGACUUAAUUUAUGUAGCAAGCUUAAGCCGUUUAGGUGUAGGCGUAGCGAAAGCGAGUCUUAAUAGGGCGAUUAGUUACAUGGAUUAGAACCCGAAACCGAGUGAUCUAGCUAUGAGCAGGUUGAAGGCAAGGUAAUACUUGCUGGAGGACCGAACCAGUUGACGUUGAAAAGUCUUUGGAUGACUUGUUGCUAGGGGUGAAAGGCCAAUCAAACUCGGAGAUAGCUGGUUUUCCGCGAAAACUAUUUAGGUAGUGCGUUGAGAUAUAGAUUUUGAGGGGUAGAGCACUAAAUAGGCUAGGGGGAAGAAAUUCUUACUAAACCUAAUAAAACUCCGAAUACUCAAAAUUGUUCCUCAGCAGACAGACGGUGAAUGCUAACGUCCAUCGUCGAGAGGGAAACAACCCAGACCACCAAUUAAGGUCCCCAAGUUAUGGUUAAGUGUGAAAGGAUGUGAAGACUCCAAAACAGCCGGGAGGUUGGCUUAGAAGCAGCCAUCCUUUAAAGAUAGCGUAACAGCUCACCGGUCUAAUUAAGAGACUUUGCGCCUAAGAUGUAACGGGGCUCAAACCAUACACCGAAAUUGUGGAUUGAUAGAAGUCUUCGGACUUUUAUUUCUGGUAGCGGAACGUUCUGUAAGCCUGUGAAGAGAGACCCGUGAGGGCUCUUGGAGGUAUCAGAAGUGCGAAUGCUGACAUAAGUAACGACAAACAGAGUGAAAGACUCUGUCGCCGAGAGUACAAGGGUUCCUGCGUAAAGUUAAUCUUCGCAGGGUUAGCCGGCCCCUAAGACGAGGACGAAAGUCGUAGUCGAUGGGAAUCAGGUAAAUAUUCCUGAGCCAGGUGGUAGUGACGGAUCAUGUAAAUUGUUAACUCUUAUUGGAUUGAGUUAGCUGUGAAGUGGUCCCAGGAAAUAGCUCCAUCAUAAGACCGUACCCCAAACGGACACACGUGUACCGGUAGAGUAUACCUAGGCGCUUGAGAGAAUGAUGUUGAAGGAACUCGGCAAAAUGCUUCCGUAACUUCGGGAUAAGGAAGACCCAAUAAUGGGCAACCAUAUUUGGGUGGCACAAGCCAGGGAGAAGCGACUGUUUAUCAAAAACACAGCACUCUGCUAACACGUAAGUGGAUGUAUAGGGUGUGACGCCUGCCCGGUGCUGGAAGGUUAAAGGGAGAUGUGCAAGCAUCAAACUGAAGCCCCAGUGAACGGCGGCCGUAACUAUAACGGUCCUAAGGUAGCGAAAUUCCUUGACGGGUAAGUUCCGUCCUGCAUGAAUGGCGUAACGAUUUCUCCGCUGUCUCCAACAUCAACUCAGUGAAAUUGAAUUCUCCGUGAAGAUGCGGAGUUCCCGUGGUUAGACGGAAAGACCCCGUGCACCUUUACUACAACUUUAUAUUGGUGUUAGGAAUGACAUAUUUAGCUUAGGAGGGAGACUUUGAAGUUUUGGCGCCAGCCAAAAUGGAGUCACCAGUGAAAUACCUCUUUUGUUAUUCUUGACAUCUAACUGCUAGCCGUAAUCCGGCAGCAAGACAUUGUAUGGUGGGUAGUUUGACUGGGGCGGUCGCCUCCCAAAUAGUAACGGAGGCGUGCGAAGGUAGGCUCAGAACGGUCAGAAAUCGUUCGUAGAGUGCAAUGGCAUAAGCCUGCCUGACUG
This 1828-nucleotide ribosomal RNA is filed under the name marine metagenome. RNAcentral describes it as "bacterial LSU rRNA". It matches the Rfam family "Bacterial large subunit ribosomal RNA", at positions 446 to 2375 of the family's 2925-position model. The record is from RNAcentral.